CCCUACGGCCAUGUGGCAUGUUGGAUACACCCGAUCCCUCGACCUGGAAAUUAAGCAACACGUAGUCCGGUCAGCUCUUGGAUGGGAGACCACCCAAGGAUGACCGGAUGCUGUAGCCA
Molecule: ribosomal RNA, 119 nt
Filed under: Branchiostoma floridae (Florida lancelet)
Lineage: Eukaryota; Metazoa; Chordata; Leptocardii; Amphioxiformes; Branchiostomatidae
Source: RNAcentral